GAGGUCGCACCUACGAUACUAAAAUUGGAAUGAUACAGGGAAGAUGAACAUGGCUCCUGCAGAAGAGUGACCCGUUUGCCAAGUGUUCCAUAAAAAAUAAAU
Molecule: small nuclear RNA, 102 nt
Organism: Lepus europaeus (European hare)
Lineage: Eukaryota; Metazoa; Chordata; Mammalia; Lagomorpha; Leporidae
Source: RefSeq, a predicted model, not a curated record